UCUCUUCCUCUCUCUCUCCUUUCGUCUCUGGCGAGCUCAGCUAUCGCAGGGAACCUGCGACUUCGUUCGAUCGGGAAAUCGCGUCGCGUCUCCGGCCAGAUUUUCCGGCUACUCCAGUGCAAGAUCGGUCGACUCCGGCUUCUUUUCCAUCGAUGGCGUAGUUCCAACCUCUCCCUCCUGUCGUUUCCGGCUAGCGCAGCUAACACAAGAAGCUGCAGUUGAGUUUCAAUCGGAGAGUAGCGCCAUCAGCCCUCUUUCUCGUUUUUCCGGCAAGACCUGUUACCGGCCGGCCAAUCCAGCUCCUCUUUUGUUGUCAACGCCUCACCAGCGUACUUCCGGCGAGCGUUCUCAUAAAGUCCGGUCAAGCUAUCGUCGGCAGCAGUGGGUUUUGCUUUGAAGUUCAUUUUGAGUCACUUUUAACGAAUACAUUCAAUUUUUACAUCAUAUUUCUUGAUUAGGUGAUGAAUGAUUUAUACUUUGAGCUUGGGAAAUGAAGUAAAAAGCCUUGAUAUGGAAACUUUAUAACAGAUAGAGGCUUAGUAAUUAUCAAGCAUAGAGAAUUGAAAUGAAUCUAACAAUAUAAAUCUUAUUUACAUAUGUAUAAAAUAAGUCAUUUAUUUGGCAUUUAGCUAGCAAAGCUAAUCAUGAUUAUGUGUAAGUAAUAAUGGUUAAUGAUAUCAUUUGGAGCAAUGAGAAGUUUAUGAUAAGUUGUCGAGUCGAUGACUAAAUGUUGGUAUUAUGGUUUUUAAUGAGGAUGAAAAUUUGAUUUGAUUGAUUGCCCGAUGAA
Molecule: long non-coding RNA, 787 nt
Organism: Jatropha curcas
Lineage: Eukaryota; Viridiplantae; Streptophyta; Magnoliopsida; Malpighiales; Euphorbiaceae
Source: RefSeq, a predicted model, not a curated record